CCACACGGUAAACGAUGGAUACUCGCUGUUGGCGAUAUACAGUCAGCGGCUUAGCGAAAGCGUUAAGUAUCCCACCUGGGGAGUACGCCGGCAACGGUGAAACUCAAAGGAAUUGACGGGGGCCCGCACAAGCGGAGGAACAUGUGGUUUAAUUCGAUGAUACGCGAGGAACCUUACCCGGGCUUAAAUUAUGCAUGAAUCACAUUGAAAGAUGUGAGCCGCAAGGCAUGUAUGAAGGUGCUGCAUGGUUGU
Molecule: ribosomal RNA, 252 nt
Filed under: uncultured bacterium
Lineage: Bacteria
Description: partial 16S ribosomal RNA
Rfam family: Bacterial small subunit ribosomal RNA
Source: RNAcentral